CUCCUUCAGAGCUAAAGGAACAGAAGAAGGCCAUGGAGCAGGAGCUGCAGGCAUCUGUGGGGCCUUCUUGUGUCUCUCCCAACCACAGGCAGCGGCCCUUGGGGUCCUCCACACAGGGCCUCAGACCCCCGCGUCCCCUCUGCGGGGUUGCACCUCUCCAGUGCUGCCUGCCUGCACCUCCUCUGGAGCCCUACCUUCGACCUCGAGGCCAGUCAGCUACCCACCGCUGGGGAUGGCAGCUUCAGUGCAGCCCCAGGGAAGGGCCAGCUUCCACACCCAUGUCCAGUGCAGCACCCCAAGCCCCAGCCUGAAGGGCUGGUCACCGAGUAGGCUCUGGCUUCUGCCACAGCGCACCUGUCUGCGC
This 364-nucleotide long non-coding RNA is filed under the name Pan troglodytes (chimpanzee). RNAcentral describes it as "long non-coding RNA NONPTRT000233". The record is from RNAcentral. Lineage: Eukaryota; Metazoa; Chordata; Mammalia; Primates; Hominidae.